GACGAACGCUGGCGGCGUGCUUAACACAUGCAAGUCGAACGGUGAAGGUGGGAGUUUGCUCCUGCCGGAUCAGUGGCGAACGGGUGAGUAACACGUGAGUAACCUGCCCUUGACUCUGGAAUAAGCGUUGGAAACGACGUCUAAUACCGGAUACGAGCUUCAGCCGCAUGGCUAGGAGUUGGAAAGAUUUUUCGGUCAAGGAUGGACUCGCGGCCUAUCAGCUUGUUGGUGAGGUAAUGGCUCACCAAGGCGACGACGGGUAGCCGGCCUGAGGGGGUGGCCGGCCACACUGGGACUGGGGCACGGCCCAGACUCCUACGGGAGGCAGCAGUGGGGAAUAUUGCACAAUGGGCGCAAGCCUGAUGCAGCAACGCCGCGUGAGGGACGACGGCCUUCGGGUUGUAAACCUCUUUUAGCGGGGAAGAAGCGCAAGUGACGGUACCUGCAGAAAAAGCACCGGCUAACUACGUGCCAGCCGCCGCAGUAA
This 487-nucleotide ribosomal RNA is filed under the name uncultured bacterium. RNAcentral describes it as "partial 16S ribosomal RNA". It matches the Rfam family "Bacterial small subunit ribosomal RNA", at positions 28 to 523 of the family's 1533-position model. The record is from RNAcentral.